UACGUAGGGAGCAAGCGUUGUUCGGAAUUAUUGGGCGUAAAGAGCGCGUAGGCGGUUCGGUAAGUCUGACGUGAAAUCCCGGAGCUCAACUCCGGAACUGCGUUGGAUACUGCCGGGCUUGAGUGUGGGAGAGGAGAGUGGAAUUCCCAGUGUAGAGGUGAAAUUCGUAGAUAUUCGGAGGAACACCGAUGGCGAAGGCAGCCUCCUGGGGCCAGUACUGACGCUCAUGCACGAAAAGCGUGGGGGAGCAAAA
Molecule: ribosomal RNA, 253 nt
Filed under: uncultured bacterium
Lineage: Bacteria
Description: partial 16S ribosomal RNA
Rfam family: Bacterial small subunit ribosomal RNA
Source: RNAcentral